This 253-nucleotide ribosomal RNA is filed under the name uncultured bacterium. RNAcentral describes it as "partial 16S ribosomal RNA". It matches the Rfam family "Bacterial small subunit ribosomal RNA", at positions 524 to 776 of the family's 1533-position model. The record is from RNAcentral.
UACGAAGGGGGCGAGCGUUGUUCGGAUUUACUGGGCGUAAAGGGCGCGCAGGCGGCUUUGUUUGUCAGGCGUGAAAGCCCCGGGCUUAACCUGGGAACUGCGUUUGAUACGGCAGGGCUAGAGUUCGGGAGAGGAGAGUGGAAUUCCCAGUGUAGAGGUGAAAUGCGUAGAUAUCAGGAGGAACACCUGUGGCGAAAGCGGCUCACUGGACCACAACUGACGCUGAUGCACGAAAGCUAGGGGAGCAAACAGG